This 64-nucleotide transfer RNA is filed under the name Citellophilus tesquorum dzetysuensis. RNAcentral describes it as "tRNA-Tyr". The record is from RNAcentral. RNAcentral also lists the same sequence under 1 other name. Lineage: Eukaryota; Metazoa; Arthropoda; Insecta; Siphonaptera; Ceratophyllidae.
GAUAAAAUGGCUGAGUUAAUAGGCAAUAAAUUGUAAAUUUAUGAACGGGAAUAACCUUUUAUCA